Molecule: ribosomal RNA, 496 nt
Filed under: uncultured bacterium
Lineage: Bacteria
Description: partial 16S ribosomal RNA
Rfam family: Bacterial small subunit ribosomal RNA
Source: RNAcentral
GAUGAACGCUGGCGGCGUGCCUAAUACAUGCAAGUCGAGCGAACAGACGAGGAGCUUGCUCCUCUGACGUUAGCGGCGGACGGGUGAGUAACACGUGGAUAACCUACCUAUAAGACUGGGAUAACUUCGGGAAACCGGAGCUAAUACCGGAUAAUAUAUUGAACCGCAUGGUUCAAUAGUGAAAGACGGUUUUGCUGUCACUUAUAGAUGGAUCCGCGCCGCAUUAGCUAGUUGGUAAGGUAACGGCUUACCAAGGCAACGAUGCGUAGCCGACCUGAGAGGGUGAUCGGCCACACUGGAACUGAGACACGGUCCAGACCCCUACGGAAGGCAGCAGUAGGGAAUCUUCCGCAAUGGGCGAAAGCCUGACGGAGCAACGCCGCGUGAGUGAUGAAGGUCUUCGGAUCGUAAAACUCUGUUAUUAGGGAAGAACAAAUGUGUAAGUAACUAUGCACGUCUUGACGGUACCUAAUCAGAAAGCCACGGCUAACUACGU